GACGUAGGGGGCAAGCGUUGUCCGGAAUCAUUGGGCGUAAAGCGCGCGCAGGCGGCUCGUUAGGUCGGUUGUGAAAAUACGAGGCUCAACCUCGUGCCUGCAUCCGAUACUGGCGAGCUCGAGGCAGGUAGGGGAGAUCGGAAUUCCUGGUGUAGCGGUGAAAUGCGCAGAUAUCAGGAGGAACACCGGUGGCGAAGGCGGAUCUCUGGGCCUGUCCUGACGCUCAGGCGCGAAAGCGUGGGGAGCAAACAGG
Molecule: unclassified non-coding RNA, 253 nt
Filed under: uncultured Actinomycetes bacterium
Lineage: Bacteria; Bacillati; Actinomycetota; Actinomycetes
Description: uncultured actinobacterium contains 16S-23S intergenic spacer region
Rfam family: Bacterial small subunit ribosomal RNA
Source: RNAcentral